This 234-nucleotide ribosomal RNA is filed under the name Chaetonotus environmental sample. RNAcentral's name for it is "partial large subunit ribosomal RNA". It matches the Rfam family "Eukaryotic large subunit ribosomal RNA", at positions 40 to 260 of the family's 3401-position model. The record is from RNAcentral. Lineage: Eukaryota; Metazoa; Gastrotricha; Chaetonotida; Chaetonotidae.
AUAUCACUAAGCGGAGAAAAAGAAAAUAACUAUGAUUCCUAAAGUAACGGCGAGUGAAUAGGAUAAGCCCAUAGCCGAAUUCUGCUGUCCUCGAUGGCAGCUAGAAGUUGUGGCGUUGGAGACUCGCUAUUGUAACCGAUCGGUCGGGCUACGCGACUCCUCUUGAUUGUGGUUUGCCCAUAGCAGGUGAAAGGCCUAUUGUCGUAGCCUCGUAUUAAAGACCGCGGUGACGUG